UCCAAAGAAACCAAUUCGAGCACAUACAUCGGUUUGUCGAAGCUGCGCGGAGACAAUUCUUCAUUAUUAGCGACGAUUGGCGAGUAAGAAUUGAAUUAAAACACAUUAUAAACGCAAGAUGUAUAUUAUGAAAUGCAAAAGCUAACUCCUUUCUAUUUUCUUCAAAAAGACCACGAGGGCUUGCAGGGGUGGGUAGAUGCCCACCAGUGUCAGAUUGAGGCUUAACAGCCUAGGAUUAGUACUUUGAUGCUCUAAUUGUCUACUCUAUGGACUCAUGGGAUGGUUGCUGACUCAGAUGAUGAGAUGGAGGAUUCAAGAGAGAGUCCUGACGACUUUUAAUUCUUUAACUGCCCC
RNAcentral lists this long non-coding RNA (354 nucleotides) under Ricinus communis (castor bean). Its description in RNAcentral is "long non-coding RNA (RCOM_LNC000661)". Lineage: Eukaryota; Viridiplantae; Streptophyta; Magnoliopsida; Malpighiales; Euphorbiaceae. The record is from RNAcentral.